AUAAAUCCGAUGAACAAAAGUAAGUAGCUCAUCAAACAGUCUUACAGAGAGUGACCGGUUGCUGGAAGGUCAUAGAUAUGUGAUAAGCGAAUGGAUUUGUGAGGAGCACAGAGAACUGUUUAUGAAACUUAGUAACUGUCGCCGUUAUCCCACGUUACGGGAACGAGAUAUAAAAGCUUUUUAUUAUCGAACAAAGCGGAGUAUCUUAAGUGAGGAGAGAUAUUUUCUAAGAUAUUUUAACAAGAAGAGAAGAUCAGAAGAUAUUUCUUGAAUAUGGGUGGCACCACGGUCUAUCGUCCCUAGU
RNAcentral lists this non-coding RNA (304 nucleotides) under Anaerostipes hadrus. RNAcentral's name for it is "T-box sequence". It matches the Rfam family "T-box leader". Rfam says of the family: Uncharged tRNA acts as the effector for transcription antitermination of genes in the T-box leader family. T-boxes are found upstream of many aminoacyl-tRNA synthetase genes and some amino acid biosynthetic genes usually in Gram-positive bacteria. Lineage: Bacteria; Bacillati; Bacillota; Clostridia; Lachnospirales; Lachnospiraceae. The record is from RNAcentral.